UCGGCUCAUCACAUCCUGGGGCUGAAGUAGGUCCCAAGGGUAUGGCUGUUCGCCAUUUAAAGUGGUACGCGAGCUGGGUUUAGAACGUCGUGAGACAGUUCGGUCCCUAUCUGCCGUGGGCGCUGGAGAACUGAGGGGGGCUGCUCCUAGUACGAGAGGACCGGAGUGGACGCAUCACUGGUGUUCGGGUUGUCAUGCCAAUGGCACUGCCCGGUAGCUAAAUGCGGAAGAGAUAAGUGCUGAAAGCAUCUAAGCACGAAACUUGCCCCGAGAUGAGUUCUCCCUGAGACUUAGAGUCUCCUGAAGGAACGUUGAAGACGACGACGUUGAUAGGCCGGGUGUGUAAGCGCAGCGAUGCGUUGAGCUAACCGGUACUAAUGAACCGUGAGGCUUAACCUUACAACGCCGAAG
This 411-nucleotide ribosomal RNA is filed under the name Salmonella enterica subsp. enterica serovar Tennessee. Its description in RNAcentral is "bacterial LSU rRNA". It matches the Rfam family "Bacterial large subunit ribosomal RNA", at positions 2532 to 2925 of the family's 2925-position model. The record is from RNAcentral. Lineage: Bacteria; Pseudomonadati; Pseudomonadota; Gammaproteobacteria; Enterobacterales; Enterobacteriaceae.